RNAcentral lists this ribosomal RNA (476 nucleotides) under uncultured bacterium. RNAcentral's name for it is "partial 16S ribosomal RNA". It matches the Rfam family "Bacterial small subunit ribosomal RNA", at positions 28 to 523 of the family's 1533-position model. The record is from RNAcentral.
GAUGAACGCUGGCGGCGUGCUUAACACAUGCAAGUCGAGCGAGUGAGUUCUUCGGAACGAUCUAGCGGCGGACGGGGGAGUAACACGUUGGCAACCUGCCUCAUAGAGGGGAAUAGCCUCCCGAAAGGGAGAUUAAUAUCGCAUAAAAUUAUCGAGUGGCAUCACAUGAUAAUCAAAGGAGUAAUCCGCUAUGAGAGGGGCCCGCGGCGCAUUAGCUAGUUGGUGAGGUAACGGCUCACCAAGGCGACGAUGCUUAGCCGACCUGAGAGGGUGAUCGGCCACAUUGGGACUGAGACACGGCCCAGACUCCUACGGGAGGCAGCAGUGGGGAAUAUUGCACAAUGGGGGAAACCCUGAUGCAGCAACGCCGCGUGAGUGAUGAAGGUCUUCGGAUUGUAAAGCUCUGUCUUUGGGGACGAUAAUGACGGUACCCAAGGAGGAAGCCACGGCUAACUACGUGCCAGCCGCCGCUGUAA